RNAcentral lists this ribosomal RNA (497 nucleotides) under uncultured bacterium. Its description in RNAcentral is "partial 16S ribosomal RNA". It matches the Rfam family "Bacterial small subunit ribosomal RNA", at positions 28 to 507 of the family's 1533-position model. The record is from RNAcentral.
GAUGAACGCUGGCGGCGUGCCUAAUACAUGCAAGUCGAGCGAACAGACGAUUAGCUUGCUCCUCUUACGUUAGCGGCGGACGGGUGAGUAACACGUUGAUAACCUACCUAUAAGACUGGGAUAACUUCGGGAAACCGGAGCUAAUACCGGAUAAGAUAUUGAACCGCAUGGUUCAAUAGUGAAAGACGGUUUUGCUGUCACUUAUAGAUGGAUCCGCGCCUCAUUAGCUAGUUGGUAAGGUAACGGCUUACCAAGGCGACGAUGCGUAGCCGACCUGAGAGGGUGAUCGGCGACACUGGAACUGAGACACGGUCCAGACUCCUACGGGAGGCAGCAGUAGGGAAUCUUCAGCAAUGGGCGAAAGCCUGACGGAGAAACGCCGCGUGAGUGAUGAAGGUCUUCGGAUCGUAAAACUCUGUUAUUAGGGAAGAACAAAUGUGUAAGUAACUAUGAACGUCUUGACGGUACCUAAUCAGAAAGCCACGGCUAACUACGUG